RNAcentral lists this unclassified non-coding RNA (1930 nucleotides) under Portunus trituberculatus (swimming crab). RNAcentral describes it as "aromatic-L-amino-acid decarboxylase-like, transcript variant X1". The record is from RNAcentral. Lineage: Eukaryota; Metazoa; Arthropoda; Malacostraca; Decapoda; Portunidae.
AUCCCUCCCCGCGCGUAGUCGCCCUUCAUCAGCCGCGUCGUUGAGCUUGUGUGUGUGUUUACAUUAGACGCACUUGUAUUCCACGCUCCUCUCCGCGUCCAAGCAAAGUCCUAAGGGUGAACGGACACACACACGCUCAACCAACCACACACGAGCUCAGAUCUUCACUCGGGACUAGAUUACGCCUCCUCCAGCCCCGGUUCCCCUGGUCUCGCCACAAUGAAUUCGGACGAGUUUCGGCAGCGUGGCAAGGAGAUGGUGGACUACAUUGCCGACUAUCUGGACACUAUUGAGGAGAGGCGCGUGACUCCAGCCAUCGAGCCCGGCUACCUGCGAAAACUGGUGCCCAGCGAAGCGCCGCAGAAACCUGAGCAAUGGGAUGAUAUCAUGAAGGACGUGGAGGAAAAGAUUAUGCCUGGGGUAACUCAUUGGCAGCACCCGAGAUUCCACGCUUACUUCCCUGCCGGCGACUCCUACCCCAGCCUCAUCGGUGACAUGCUUUGUAACGGCCUGGGCUGCAUUGGUUUCUCUUGGGCCGCCUCACCAGCUUGUACGGAGCUUGAAACGAUAGUGCUCGAUUGGGUGGGCAAAAUGGUCGGCCUUCCAGAACAGUUUCUCUCCUUCAGCGAAAACAGUAAAGGAGGCGGAGUUAUUCAGGGCUCAGCGUCAGAGUGCAUCUUCGUGGCCCUGCUGGCUGCUCGCGCCCACACCAUUCGUCAACUGAAAAAGCAGCACCCAUUCGUAGAGGAGGGAGUACUGCUGUCCAAGAUGAUGGCGUACUGCAGUAAAGAGGCACACAGCUGCGUCGAGAAGGCCGCGAUGAUGGCCUUCGUCAAACUGAGGAUUCUGGAGCCCGACGAGAACCAUAGUCUUCGGGGCGCCACACUACAGCAGGUGAUGCAAGAGGACAGAGCAAUGGGUCUUGUGCCCUUCUACGUUUCGGCAACCCUGGGCACCACCUCCUGCUGCUCCUUCGAUAACCUCGCCGAGAUUGGCCCCGUGUGUGAGGAGUUCGGAGCUUGGCUGCAUGUCGACGCUGCAUACGCCGGCAGUUCCUUUACGUGUCCUGAGCUGCGGGGACCAAUGAGAGGCAUCGAGUACGCCUCGUCAUUCAACUUCAAUCCAAACAAGUUUAUGCUGACACACUUCGAUUGUUCACUCAUGUGGGUGCGGGACCGGUUCAAGCUGACACAAGCUCUGGUGGUGGAUCCUUUGUAUCUACAGCACUCCUACUCUGAGAAAUCUAUCGACUACAGGCACUGGGGCAUUCCUCUCAGCCGCAGGUUCAGGGCUCUCAAGAUCUGGUUCGUGAUUAGGUCUUUCGGCAUCGAGGGACUGCAGAAGUACAUUAGGAGUCACUGUCGCCUGGCCCGUCGCUUCGAGGCCCACGUGAAGAAAGAGCCGAUGUUUGAGGUAGCCAGUCCUGUCCACCUCGGCCUCGUCUGCUUCAGGUUGCGAGGAUCAAACGACAUCAACCAGAAGCUGCUGACUUCGAUCAACGCCUCGGGAAAGCUGCACAUGGUCCCAGCUUCCCUCAACGAUAAGUAUGUCAUCCGUUUCUGCGUGUGCCGCCAGACUGCCACGGAUGAUGAUAUUGACUACGCCUGGGAAGUCAUCAAACAGUUCGCCACAGACGUUCAGGAAACCAACCCGGAGAUCAUCGAGAACUACAGCCAGUUCGAAGAUUCAAAACAUCGCAUGGACUUCACUCCGAACCCUGUAAGGCACUGACUAGUGGCAUCAGAGGUGGUAAUGGUUCACCGUCUUCUGGUUUUUCAGGCGGAAGAAAGGCUGAAGAAACCAGUGGAGGCCGAGGACGAGGUGGUCAAGGCGGAGAAGGUCAGGAAGCAAGACGCCAGCCUGCAAUACAAACGCUCCUUCUUCGUCCGCAUGGUGUCUGAUCCCAAAAUCUACAACCCCAAAAUUGUUC